AAGGAACAGGGGACACUUGUAAUGGAGAGCACUAAGCUAUGGACUGCUACUGCUCUCCAUUACAAGUAUCCCCUGUUACCU
This 81-nucleotide microRNA precursor is filed under the name Pongo abelii (Sumatran orangutan). RNAcentral's name for it is "miRNA". The record is from RNAcentral. Lineage: Eukaryota; Metazoa; Chordata; Mammalia; Primates; Hominidae.